This 474-nucleotide ribosomal RNA is filed under the name uncultured bacterium. Its description in RNAcentral is "bacterial SSU rRNA". It matches the Rfam family "Bacterial small subunit ribosomal RNA", at positions 28 to 507 of the family's 1533-position model. The record is from RNAcentral.
GAUGAACGCUGGCGGCGUGCCUCAAACAUGCAAGUCGAGCGGGGCUAUGUAAUACCGCAAGGUAGAACAUAGCCUAGCGGCGAACGGGUGAGUAACACGUGGGUAACCUGCCUGGAAGACAGGGAUAACGAUUCGAAAGGGUCGCUAAUACCUGAUAAUAUCCUUUCAUCGCAUGGUGAUAGGAAGAAAGGGGAAACCCGCUUUCAGAUGGGCCCGCGUCCCAUCAGCUAGUUGGUAAGGUAAAGGCUUACCAAGGCGACGACGGGUAGCCGGUCUGAGAGGAUGUACGGCCACACUGGGACUGAGAUACGGCCCAGACUCCUACGGGAGGCAGCAGUUGGGAAUCUUAGGCAAUGGACGAAAGUCUGACCUAGCGACGCCGCGUGAGGGAAGAAGGCCUUCGGGUUGUAAACCUCUGUCAUGGGGAAGAAGUAAGUGACGGUACCCCAAGAGGAAGCCCCUGCUAACUACGUG